UAGGAGUAUCCCAGGCUAAGAGGUGGUGUGUAGCUUCCCUGGCCUUCUGGGAUAUUUACUUAGUACUUACGUCCAUUUUAAGUUCAGGAAAGCGGGAUGUCUCUGGCGGGGUCCAGGAAAGGGUCCAUGAACAGUCUUUAUCCGGAAGUGUCUGAGAUUCUGACAAGGCAGGAAAAUGGCCGCGGGGUGACCUCGUAUGACCUGAUAUCAAGGACGCUACACCAGGUCAGUGUUUUUUUUUUCUUUCUUUUUUUUGUUUUUUUUUUCUCUUUUUUAUUUUUCUGCGUCAUCGUUUGUCGGCAUAUUUGUGUCUAUUGGUUGUCGCUGACUCAUUUUUAUCGUUUUGUUAUUUUCUGUCUCUUUGUCUCUCGGUCUAUCCGUCUCUCUCUGUCGCUCUGUCUGUCUCUGUCUCUAUCUCUGUGUCUGUCUUCGUCUGUCUGUCUGU
Molecule: long non-coding RNA, 445 nt
Organism: Penaeus monodon (black tiger shrimp)
Lineage: Eukaryota; Metazoa; Arthropoda; Malacostraca; Decapoda; Penaeidae
Exons: 3
Source: RefSeq, a predicted model, not a curated record